Peromyscus maniculatus bairdii (prairie deer mouse) is the source of this 1624-nucleotide non-coding RNA. Lineage: Eukaryota; Metazoa; Chordata; Mammalia; Rodentia; Cricetidae. The record is from RefSeq and is a predicted model, not a curated record.
GUGAGUCAACUUUCUUCCUGUUGCCUUGGAGUCAAGGUGUAGGACUCUCAGCUACUUCUCCAGCAUCAUGUCUGCCUGCACACUGCCGUGCUCCCCAUCAUGACGAUAAGGGACUGAAUCUAUAAAAUUCCUCAUCUAAAGUUCCCAUCACCUUCUACCAGCUGGGGACUAGGCCUUCAACACAUGAGCCUCAGAGAGCUCUCAAGACAUAUGGAGGUACCACCUGACAUUUCGGAUAACUAGGAAGAGGAGAAGGGAUAAAGACUAUAAAUGGAUGAUGCUGUUGACGAGAAGCCCUUUGGAUGUUACCUCCCAACACUGGGACAUUGCCACAGCAGAGAUACGGCUUCAAGUUUUGGUAAUGAGAAAAAAAGAGAGAGGAAACCACAGCUGGGUUCCCUAAGUCAGAAUAAGGAGGAAGAGUACUUGGGAAAAUUUUGUACAUGAAAACGGCAAGAUUUGCAUUGAGAGGAGAAAUGCCAGUGUCCUCCAGUGUGUCCGGCUCAGGUCAAAAAGACCCCAGGAAUGGGCCAAGCAAUUUGUCUGGCUAGGCAUGGACUUCCCUGCCACACUUAUUCUUUGGGCACAUACAGUUUCUUUUUCUGAGUUGCAUGUCCUUGAGACUCUUGCCGUCUUAUUAUAGCUUUAAAAAGCUGACACACACAGCACUCAUCCACGCUGGACAUGAGUGACGCUCUGGCAUCUGUAGGAACACUCAGCGCCAAAGACGGUGUGUGGAGAAGGACUCGUGUGUUUGAACACUCGGUCAUGGGACUUUUAGAAAGUCGACCCUUCCUGGAUGAAGUAUGUCAUAGGUGUCCUAGUUAGGGUUUCUAUUGCCGUGAAGAGACACCGUGACCAUGGCAACUCUUAUAAAGGAAAACAUUUAAUUGAGGUGGCUCACAUUUUCAGAGGUUUAGUCCAUUACCAUCAUGGUGCAACAUGAUAAUGUGCAGGAAGACGUGGUGCUGAAGAAGUAGCUGAGAGUCCUUCAUCUUGACUUGAAGGAAACAUAAAGUAGUCUGAGACACUGGGUGUGGCUUAAGCAUAUAUGAGACCUCAAAGCCCACCUCCAUGGUGACACACUUCCUCCAACAAGGCCACACCCACUUCAACAAAGCUAUACCUCCUAACCAUGCCACUCCCUUUGGAGGCCAUUUUCUUUCAAACUACCACAAUAGGCUUUGAGGUUUUACAACCUGGCUCUACUUUCUGUUGUCUCUCUGCUUCCUGCCUGGCAGGCUGCCCUGUUCUCUGUCUGCCAUUCCUUCUCCUCCAUGAUGAGCUGUAGACCCUCUGGUAGGCCAAAGUAAAAUCCAAGCUGUUUUCAUCAGGAUAUUUAUCAUAGCAACAGAAAAGAAACUGAUAUCCUGGGGGAUCUGUGAUGAUCAUACCCAGUCCCUAGUCCCUUCCUCCUGUUGUACUUCUUGUCUACCAUGAGAUCAAGAAGGUCCUCUGUUACAUUUCUCUGCCACCAUGAUGUUUUACCCAAGGGCAUGGGAGAAGCAACCAUGGACUGAAUCCCCUGAAACUGUGAGUGAGACUAUGGUGAUAUUUUAUUUGUGAUGAAAUGUGAUUUUAUUUGUAUGUUAAUAAAUAAAAUUGCCUGGAGAUCAGAGGUCAA